RNAcentral lists this ribosomal RNA (458 nucleotides) under uncultured bacterium. RNAcentral describes it as "partial 16S ribosomal RNA". It matches the Rfam family "Bacterial small subunit ribosomal RNA", at positions 338 to 795 of the family's 1533-position model. The record is from RNAcentral.
CCUACGGGAGGCAGCAGUGAGGAAUAUUGGUCAAUGGGCGAGAGCCUGAACCAGCCAAGUCGCGUGAGGGAGUACUGCCCUAUGGGUUGUAAACCUCUUUUGUCGGGGAGCAAAAGCCGGACGUGUCCGGCUGUGAGAGUACCCGAAGAAAAAGCAUCGGCAAACUCCGUGCCAGCAGCCGCGGUAAUUCGGAGGAUGCGAGCGUUAUCCGGAUUUAUUGGGUUUAAAGGGUGCGAAGGCGGAUUUUUAAGUCAGCGGUAAAAUCGUGGGGCUCAACCCCAUCCAGCCGUUGAAACUGGGGAUCUAGAGUGUGCGAGAGGUAUGCGGAAUGCGUGGUGUAGCGGUGAAAUGCAUAGAUAUCACGAAGAACCCCGAUUGCGAAGGCAGCAUACCGGUGCACAACUGACGCUCAGGCACGAAAGCGUGGGUAUCGAACAGGAUUAGAUACCCGAGUAGUC